RNAcentral lists this ribosomal RNA (470 nucleotides) under uncultured bacterium. Its description in RNAcentral is "bacterial SSU rRNA". It matches the Rfam family "Bacterial small subunit ribosomal RNA", at positions 355 to 839 of the family's 1533-position model. The record is from RNAcentral.
UGGGGAAUAUUGCACAAUGGGCGCAAGCCUGAUGCAGCAAUGCCGCGUGAGUGAAGACGGCCUUAGGGUUGUAAACCGCUUUCAGCAGGGAAGAAACUGACGGUACCUGCAGAAGAAGAUGCGGCCAACUACGUGCCAGCAGCCGCGGUGACACGUAGGCAUCAAGCGUUAUCCGGAUUUAUUGGGCGUAAAGAGCUCGUAGGCGGUUCGGUAAGUCGGGUGUGAAACUCUGGGCUCAACCCAGAGAGGCCACUCGAUACUGCUGUGACUAGAGUGCGGUAGGGGAGCGGGGAAUUCCUGGUGUAGCGGUGAAAUGCGCAGAUAUCAGGAGGAACACCAGUGGCGAAGGCGCCGCUCUGGGCCGUAACUGACGCUGAGGAGCGAAAGCAUGGGUAGCAAACAGGAUUAGAUACCCUGGUAGUCCACGCCGUAAACGGUGGGCGCUAGGUGUGGGGAUCGUUUCCACGAUC